Oncorhynchus nerka (sockeye salmon) is the source of this 3174-nucleotide long non-coding RNA. RefSeq lists it as uncharacterized. The transcript is spliced from 4 exons. NCBI's taxonomy places the organism in Eukaryota, Metazoa, Chordata, Actinopteri, Salmoniformes, Salmonidae. The record is from RefSeq and is a predicted model, not a curated record.
UGGCUUGCUCGGUGUUGGAUCUUGUGUCUAUAAAAUGAGCUGCUCGUAAUGCUUAAAUAAUCGUUUCUACUGCAGUUUUUUUUUAAAGAUAUUAUGUUAGCCAACUACAAAUAUGUUGCUACUGCUCUCAAUAACAUUGCUGCCCUGAAUUUAUCAGGCACAUCGACAAAGUGGAACACAAUGGGCCAAACAAGCUGUGCAAACUAAACGGAAACAACACAGGAUGUCUUAUAAAAGAGGUUGCAGUCGGCCGUGAAGCUUUCAUCCAUGUAUACAGGACUGCUGUUAUCCCCCUCUCUCUCUGCCCAGUGGCUGGGCCUGAUGCCUGCUCUGGCUGCUGGAGUGGAUACCUCUGGUCUCUCUGCCAAUCCAGAGGUCCAAUCCGAGAUCAAACGUUUACGCUUCACCUCCCUCGGGAGAUGGAUGGCUGCCUAAGACGGGUCCUGUUCUGACACAUUCCCCCCAUGGACCUGAGCCCUAGGACCAUGCCCCAGGACUACCUGACAUGAUGACUCCUUGCUGUCCCCAGUCCACCUGGCCAUGCUGCUGCUCCAGUUUCAACUGGCCUGGGCCCUAGGACCAUGUCCCAGGACUACCUGACAUGAUGACUCCUUGCUGUCCCCAGUCCACCUGGCCAUGCUGCUGCUCCAGUUUCAACUGUUCUGCCUUACUAUUAUUCAACCAUGAUGGUCAUUUAUGAACAUUUGAACAUCUUGGCCACGUUCUGUUAUAAUCUCCACCCGGCACAGCCAGAAGAGGACUGGCCACCCCACAUAUGCUCUCUCUAAUUCUCUCUUUCUUUCUCUCUCUCGGAGGACCUGAGCCCUAGGACCGUGCCCCAGGACUACCUGACAUGAUGACUCCUUGCUGUCCCCAGUCCACCUGACUGUGCUGCUGCUCCAGUUUCAACUGUUCUGCCUUAUUAUUAUUCGACCAUGCUGGUCAUUUAUGAACAUUUGAACAUCUUGGUCAUGUUCUGUUAUAAUCUCUACCCGGCACAGCCAGAAGAGGACUGGCCACCCCACAUAGCCUGGUUCCUCUCUAGGUUUCUUCCUAGGUUUUGGCCUUUCUAGGGAGUUUUUCCUAGCCACCGUGCUUUUACACCUGCAUUGUUUGCUGUUUGGGGUUUUAGGCUGGGUUUCUGUACAGCACUUUGAGAUAUCAGCUGAUGUACGAAGGGCUAUAUAAAUAAAUUUGAUUUGAUUUGGAGAGGUGCAUUGCUGCGGUGCUCCACCAACCUUCCGUCAAAAAAAUGUAUCUAACAUAAAUCAUGUAGCAGAUAUAGGACAUGGUAGAAAGAAUAUUUGGCCUUUACUGUAGGCUACAGGCUGGAGACAAAAUGUAUGACAAUGUAAUGAGAUGAACACUUUUUAGAUCAUGCAGGUUUCUCUGAUCAAAUAGCCUAAAGAAAGAAACCUUUCAUAUCAUGCAGGUUUUUCCGAUCAAAUAGCCUAAAGAAAGAAACCUUUCAUAUCAUGCAGGUUUCUCUGAUCAAAUAGCCUAAAGAAAGAAACCUUUCAUAUCAUGCAGGUUUUUCCGAUCAAAUAGCCUAAAGAAAGAAACCUUUCAUAUCAUGCAGGUUUCUCCGAUCAAAUAGCCUAAAGAAAGAAACCUUUCAUAUCAUGCAGGUUUUUCCGAUCAAAUAGCCUAAAGAAAGAAACCUUUCAUAUCAUGCAGGUUUCUCCGAUCAAAUAGCCUAAAGAAAGAAACCUUUCAUAUCAUGCAGGUUUUUCCGAUCAAAUAGCCUAAAGAAAGAAACCUUUCAUAUCAUGCAGGUUUCUCCGAUCAAAUAGCCUAAAGAAAGAAACCUUUCAUAUCAUGCAGGUUUCUCUGAUCAAAUAGCCUAAAGAAAGAAACCUUUCAUAUCAUGCAGGUUUCUCCGAUCAAAUAGCCUAAAGAAAGAAACCUUUCAUAUCAUGCAGGUUUUUCCGAUCAAAUAGCCUAAAGAAAGAAACCUUUCAUAUCAUGCAGGUUUCUCCGAUCAAAUAGCCUAACCACAUUGUCAUGUUAUUAUUAAACAACAUCUCCUAAAAACAGGACAGGCCAAAGUAAAAUGGACAAUAUGGAAUGGACAAUCACAACUGUUGUCCAGGAGUUCACCCCAUUGUCAUGAUCAGUGGUUUCAAGUUUGUAUCUGUCCAUUUUUGACAAGCUAUCAUAGCGAAAAAUUAAAUACUUCUGCAUUUGAUAUGCAUGAUAACUUCGGUAGCUGAUAUUCAGAGCUUAAAUAGCCAAAUUGAUUAGUUACAGGAAUCAGGACUAAGAAAGCCAAUGCAGUGGCCUUUUACAAAUGGUGAGCCUACCACAUUGACGGAAAUUCCAUUGUGGGCCGCCAUGGUAGGCUACACCCCAGUUAGCAGGAGACAAUGUCUAUUUUAUGUUCCUUUCCAGACAGGACGCCUUUUUUUGUGUUUUACAAAACGGUAGGCUUACCACAGAUGGGCAUUCAUAAAAUUAUAUUUCAGGCAACACUGUAGGUUACACCUCAGUAAGCACGGUCUGACUCGGAUGCCUUAUGGAGAUCUUUUUUUGGUGCAGUCCGGACUGACCUUGAUUUCCACAUUCACGGACAUUGGUUUUUGGUCCGGUCUAUGACGUCUAUGUUUGGUUUAGAUUUUGUGCAGUCUGGACCAGCCUUGAUUUGACUCAAACAUUGACGUCUAUAAAUAUUGUGUUUUCAACUUUCAUUCAGAAUCUAAAAUGAACCUGACUUUAAUGUCUGAAAAAUACAUAAUUUUCAACGUCCGUAAAACGUAUGGAAAAUACGUAUUUUCAACUUUUAUUCAGAACCUAAAUUGAACCUAACUUCAACUUCUGGAGUCUUUAAACAUAAUUUUUCUUACUGGAAGUAUUCUAGUUUUGCGGGGGCAGCAUUUUUUGGUCUCGCCUAGGGCGGCAGAACAGCAAGGACCAGCCAGUUGUGCUAAAUAAAACUAACCUGAUUUCAUGGUUGCUAUGUUUAAAUUGAUGUGUGGGUGGUAUUCUAUCAUUAUGCACAUGAGAGAAAUGUACCAUUUGUUGUCAUAUUUUUCAUUCCAUAACUGGUUUAGUAAAGUUCCAUAGUCAACACAAACACACACAUACAGUGGGAAUAAAAAGUAUUUGAACCCUUGGUCAUACAAUUUGAUCUGAUCUUCAUCGAAGUCACAACAAUAUACAAACAAUUAUAAUUUG